This 509-nucleotide ribosomal RNA is filed under the name uncultured bacterium. RNAcentral's name for it is "bacterial SSU rRNA". It matches the Rfam family "Bacterial small subunit ribosomal RNA", at positions 19 to 518 of the family's 1533-position model. The record is from RNAcentral.
AUGGCUCAGGAUGAACGCUAGCUACAGGCUUAACACAUGCAAGUCGAGGGGCGAUCAUGACGAUAGUUGCUAUGUUGAUGGCGACCGGCGCACGGGUGAGUAACGCGUAUCCAACCUUCCCUAUAGUAGAGGAUAGCCCGGCGAAAGUCGGAUUAAUACUCUAUGUUUUCCAAUGCAGACAUCUAAGUUGGAACAAAGGUUCACCGCUAUAGGAUGGGGAUGCGUCUGAUUAGAUUGUAGGCGGGGUAACGGCCCACCUAGUCGACGAUCAGUAGGGGUUCUGAGAGGAAGGUCCCCCACAUUGGAACUGAGACACGGUCCAAACUCCUACGGGAGGCAGCAGUGAGGAAUAUUGGUCAAUGGGCGAGAGCCUGAACCAGCCAAGUAGCGUGCAGGAUGACGGCCCUAUGGGUUGUAAACUGCUUUUAUCGGGGGAUAAAGUGAGGGACGUGUCCCUUAUUGUAGGUACCCGAUGAAUAAGGACCGGCUAAUUCCGUGCCAGCAGCUGC